ACACUGACCCUUCCUUAAGUCUUCAUAACGUUGAUGCCCCACAGAAGGGCAUUGGAUCCCACUACAGAUGGUUGUGAGCCACCAUGUGGUUGCUGGGAAUUGAACUCAUGACCUCUGGAAGAGCAGUCAGUGCUCUUAACUGCUGAGCCAUCUCUCCAGCCCUCAUGGAGAACUUUAAAGCAGUCAGUCUUAAGGCUUUUCUUGUGUUCUGGGAUAACCACCCACACCAAGUUGGAUGGAAGACUCCUGAAGCUCCCCCAAAGACUGAAGCCACUAUGGUUGUCUGUGGAAGAACCCCGCCUUUCUCCCACCUGUAAAAGGAGUCACUGAGGGUUCACAGAAUUAAAUUGUCGAUAGAGGGCGCCAGAGGAUGGGGAAGAAACUACAGACAAGGGCAUUGGCAUAUUUCUUUGGUUUAAAUUACAAUUAAAAAAAUUGAAAAGGAAAAAAAUUGAAAA
RNAcentral lists this long non-coding RNA (458 nucleotides) under Mus pahari (shrew mouse). Its description in RNAcentral is "predicted gene 43522 (MGP_PahariEiJ_G0005807.1)". Lineage: Eukaryota; Metazoa; Chordata; Mammalia; Rodentia; Muridae. The record is from RNAcentral.